Molecule: long non-coding RNA, 952 nt
Organism: Aethalodelphis obliquidens (Pacific white-sided dolphin)
Lineage: Eukaryota; Metazoa; Chordata; Mammalia; Artiodactyla; Delphinidae
Exons: 3
Source: RefSeq, a predicted model, not a curated record
GCGUAGUCUCUGCCGCACGGACCUUCGGGUGAGGUCGCGCCGUCGCCUUCCCUUCGUAUGGUUGCCAAAGCUGUGUUUUUCUGAAUUCUGAGACUGGACAAGGAACCUUCCACUGCAUGAAUACCAAGAAAGGGACAAACUGCACCCAUUCCAAAGGGGUUGAGUGGGCCACCCAAGAUUCCCAGAGAAAACAGACUCUUGGAAAGGCUGAUAUUAACUAUCAUCAAUUCUACUUGCUCCAAGAAGAAAGUCACUUUGUAAGGCCAAAGGUGUUAAAAAAGCAGCAGAGUGGAGUUAUUUUCAUUCAAGCCUUCAAGCCAGGGGUGAUCACCGUGAAAAGAAAGCUGAGCAUAUGGAGCUAAAUCCAAAGGCUGGUCUCCUUAUAAAAGAAGGCCAUGUGAAGACACAGGAACACAGAGACACAGGGCAGAAUGUCAUGUGAAGACAGAGUUGGAGAUUGGAGGGAUUCAGCUACAUGCCAAGGAACGCCAAGGGCUCCUGGCAACCACCAGAAACCAGGAGAGAGGCGUGGAAUGGAUUCUCUCGCAGAACCUCCAGAAAGAACCAGCUCUUCUGACACCCUGAUUUCUGACUUCUGGUCUCCAGAACUGUGAGAGAAUAGAUUUCUGUUGUUUUAAGCCACCCAGUUUCUUGUAUUUUGCUAGGCAGCUGUAGGAAAUUAAUAGACCCCCUCUUGGCUGAACUUGGACCCUUAAAGUCCUGAACCUGUUCCUUCUGAAAGACAGAUAAGCUCUCUUCCUGUUGAUAUCCCCUUCUGCAGACAUCCUGGGACAUAACUUCCUUUCCAGCCUCCAAUAUUUGAGGAUAUCUUAUGCCCUCUCACAUUCUGUUGUCCUUGAGAGUUUAUAUCUUUUUUUAAAGAAAUGCAACGUUAUUAUUUCUAAUCACACUUAACAGCAUUAAAUAAUCAAUAAAAUAUUGAACAAAGGUA